GAUGAACGCUGGCGGCGUGCUUAACACAUGCAAGUCGAACGGAGCCUAGCGAGUGCUUGCACUUGACGAAAGCUUAGUGGCGGACGGGUGAGUAACGCGUGGGUAACCUACCCUAUACAGGGGGAUAACAGUUGGAAACAGCUGCUAAUACCGCAUAAGCGCACAGCUUCGCAUGAAGCAGUGUGAAAAACUCCGGUGGUAUAGGAUGGACCCGCGUCUGAUUAGCUAGUUGGUGAGGUAACGGCUCACCAAGGCGACGAUCAGUAGCCGACCUGAGAGGGUGACCGGCCACAUUGGGACUGAGACACGGCCCAAACUCC
RNAcentral lists this ribosomal RNA (320 nucleotides) under uncultured Coprococcus sp. Its description in RNAcentral is "bacterial SSU rRNA". It matches the Rfam family "Bacterial small subunit ribosomal RNA", at positions 28 to 339 of the family's 1533-position model. Lineage: Bacteria; Bacillati; Bacillota; Clostridia; Lachnospirales; Lachnospiraceae. The record is from RNAcentral.